UAGAGGCGGACCUUACGCAGAACGAACGCUGGCGGCGUGCCUAACACAUGCAAGUCGAACGGGGUCCAUGAGAGCUUUCUUCAAUAGAAAAAGAGUGGCGAAUGGGUGAGUAACACGUGAGAAACCUGCCUCGGAGUGGGGAAUAACUCGGGGAAACCCGAGCUAAUUCUCCUUACCCUCAGAUGGUCGCAUGGCCGACUGAGGAAAGAAUUUCGCUCUGAGAGGGUCUCGCGGCCUAUCAGCUAGUUGGUGGGGUAACGGCCUACCAAGGCAACGACGGUUUUUUUUUUUCUGCCAGAACGAUCAGCUUUUUUGUUUUUUUAGACACGGCCCAGACUCCUUUUUGUGGCAGCAGUGGGGAAUCUUGCGCAAUGGGCGAAAGCCUGACGCAGCAACGCCGCGUGCGGGAUGACGGCCUUCGUGGUUGUAAACCGCUUUCUUAGGGACGAAAAUGACGGUACCUGCAGAACAAGCCCCGGCUAACUACGUGCCAGCAGCCGCGGUAAUACGUAUGGGGCGAGCGUUGUCCGGAUUCAUUGGGCGUAAAGAGCUCGUAGGCGGUUCACUAAGUAGGGUUGUUUAAAGCUCCCGAGCUCAACUCGGAGAGGGCCAUUUGAUACUGCUGGUGACUCGAAUCCAUUAGGGGGGAGCGUGGGAAUUCCCGGGUGUAGCCGGGUGAAAUGCGCAAAUAUCAGGAGGAGCACCAACCGGCCAAAGGCGGUGCUUCUGGGCUGGAAAUUGACUCUUACGAGCCAAAAGUGUCGGUAAUAAAA
RNAcentral lists this ribosomal RNA (773 nucleotides) under uncultured Actinomycetes bacterium. Its description in RNAcentral is "uncultured actinobacterium partial 16S ribosomal RNA". It matches the Rfam family "Bacterial small subunit ribosomal RNA", at positions 1 to 773 of the family's 1533-position model. Lineage: Bacteria; Bacillati; Actinomycetota; Actinomycetes. The record is from RNAcentral.